AUAUCAAUAAGCGGAGGAAAAGAAACCAACAGGGAUUGCUCUAGUAACGGCGAGUGAAGCAGCAAUAGCUCAAAUUUGAAAUCUGGCGUCUUCGACGUCCGAGUUGUAAUUUGUAGAGGAUGCUUCUGAGUAACCACCGACCUAAGUUCCUUGGAACAGGACGUCAUAGAGGGUGAGAAUCCCGUAUGCGGUCGGAAAGGUGCUCUAUACGUAGCUCCUUCGACGAGUCGAGUUGUUUGGGAAUGCAGCUCUAAAUGGGAGGUAAAUUUCUUCUAAAGCUAAAUAUUGGCCAGAGACCGAUAGCGCACAAGUAGAGUGAUCGAAAGAUGAAAAGCACUUUGGAAAGAGAGUUAAAAAGCACGUGAAAUUGUUAAAAGGGAAGGGAUUGCAACCAGACUUGCUCGCGGUGUUCCGCCGGUCUUCUGACCGGUCUACUCGCCGCGUUGCAGGCCAGCAUCGUCUGGUGCCGCUGGAUAAGACUUGAGGAAUGUAGCUCCCUCGGGAGUGUUAUAGCCUCUUGUGAUGCAGCGAGCGCCGGGCGAGGUCCGCGCUUCGGCUAGGAUGCUGGCGUAAUGGUCGUAAUCCGCCC
This 589-nucleotide ribosomal RNA is filed under the name Cladosporium cladosporioides. Its description in RNAcentral is "partial large subunit ribosomal RNA". It matches the Rfam family "Eukaryotic large subunit ribosomal RNA", at positions 40 to 650 of the family's 3401-position model. Lineage: Eukaryota; Fungi; Ascomycota; Dothideomycetes; Cladosporiales; Cladosporiaceae. The record is from RNAcentral.